Molecule: non-coding RNA, 107 nt
Organism: Canis lupus familiaris (dog)
Lineage: Eukaryota; Metazoa; Chordata; Mammalia; Carnivora; Canidae
Source: Rfam
AGGAGGAACAACCACAGUGGUGGCGGCCAGCUCUAGAGCCCUGGAUUCAGCUCCCCCAGUAACUACAGAGCUCUCCCUCUGCAGGGGCCUGGAUGCUCCUGGUCGGG